CCCUAUGGGGUGCAGCAGGCAGGUGAGAGCUGUAUACCGAUUGAAUGGAGUCGAUGACGACGAACUCGUAGUCUCCGCUGUUAAUGUGUUUUCGUAUAACGUCAACGGCCGUUUCUGUCAGGAGAUACAGGUUGUCGUCUACCGCGUCAAGACGUCCGGCGCGCAAGCGCGUCUGAUGGAACGACUCUUCGCCGGACACGUAAAGUACCCGCCCGGCCGACCUCGCCAGAUGGCGGGACACCUGUAACAUCAAUGUCGAUUUUCCUAUGCCGGGAUCGCCGCCCACCAGAGUGAGCGAACCGGACACAAUUCCGCCCCCGAGCACGCGAUCGCACUCUGUAACGCCUGUCGAAAGGCGGGGCGGCAAAUUCUCCGUGCAUGUGGUGAGAGGAAUUGGCGGGAGGGC
Molecule: ribosomal RNA, 406 nt
Filed under: uncultured prokaryote
Description: partial 16S ribosomal RNA
Source: RNAcentral